AACGAACGCUGGCGGCAGGCUUAACACAUGCAAGUCGAGCGAGACCUUCGGGUCUAGCGGCGGACGGGUGAGUAACGCGUGGGAACGUGCCCUUCUCUACGGAAUAGCCCCGGGAAACUGGGAGUAAUACCGUAUACGCCCUUUGGGGGAAAGAUUUAUCGGAGAAGGAUCGGCCCGCGUUGGAUUAGGUAGUUGGUGGGGUAAUGGCCCACCAAGCCGACGAUCCAUAGCUGGGUUGAGAGGAUGAUCAGCCACACUGGGACUGAGACACGGCCCAGACUCCCACGGGGGGGAGGAGGUGGGAAAUCUUGGCCAUGGGGGCAACCCUGAUCUAGCCAUGCCGCGUGAGUGAUGAAGGCCUUAGGGUUGUAAAGCUCUUUCAGCUGGGAAGAUAAUGACGGUACCAGCAGAAGAAGCCCCGGCUAACUCCGUG
RNAcentral lists this ribosomal RNA (433 nucleotides) under uncultured bacterium. Its description in RNAcentral is "partial 16S ribosomal RNA". It matches the Rfam family "Bacterial small subunit ribosomal RNA", at positions 29 to 507 of the family's 1533-position model. The record is from RNAcentral.